AAUAGCGAGUAGCCCUGGAGUGGUGUCAGCCCGCCAGGCUGAGCGCUCUGCGUAUUCAGGCGUUGAAGUUGGGGAGAAGAAGUGGGUGACUGUGGGUGACACGUCCCUGAGGAUAUUUAAGUGGGUUCCUGUGACAGACAGCAAGGAGAAAGAAAAGUCAAAAUCGAACAUUUCAGCAGCCCGAGAACCUAAUGGCUUUCCUUCUGAUGCCUCAGCCAAUUCCUCUCUCCUUCUUGAAUUCCAGGACGAAAACAGCAACCAGAGUUCCGUGUCUGACGUCUAUCAGCUUAAGGUGGACAGCAGCACCAACUCAAGCCCCAGCCCCCAGCAGAGUGAGUCCCUGAGCCCAGCACACACCUCCGACUUCCGCACGGAUGACUCCCAGCCCCCAACGCUGGGCCAGGAGAUCCUGGAGGGUGAGUCGUGGUUGGCCGAGGAUGAGUUUCCUAGAAGGGCCUUGCUUUCUGCUCUUGUUGUGUCUCGUCUUUAGAGUAACAGGCUCAAGAGAGCACCUCAGAGCCAGGCAGCACCAAGCCCUUUCUCGAUAGCUUAGGAAUGAUUAUAGUUUCCCCUUUCACAGAG
RNAcentral lists this small RNA (582 nucleotides) under Pan troglodytes (chimpanzee). Its description in RNAcentral is "retained intron". Lineage: Eukaryota; Metazoa; Chordata; Mammalia; Primates; Hominidae. The record is from RNAcentral.